UGUGUGGGCACCAGUCAACUGUGCAAACAGCUGCCUGAAUAGAAACUGGUGGUGGCAAGGUUGAAGAAUCCAGCAAGAGAGAGGAUACAGACUGCGGCAUGACUCCGUUGAGCUCUCCUGUUCCGUUUUUGGCUGUGCAGGAGAAGCUGCUGUGCUCCUCGUCAUCAUUUUUUAAUUCAUCAGGAAAGCAUUGGGAGCCGCAAAAUCAGAGUUGUUGAAUGAUCCCAAAGGUACCUUGAACAAACUGAAGAUCUACAUCAUGAGCUGGUACACAGUGAUAGGAAGUAUAANUCAGAAACACCCAGAGGGUAAGUGAGCCUUUUAGAUCUAAACCCAAGUGGUGACUGGUGGAGCAGACAAGUGAGACAACUGAAAGGAAGUGGUCCAAAGAGUCAGCAAAUAUAGAUGCAACAGCUGUUCAAGCAUCAUGAAGUUGCAGUCUUACCCAAACUCACAUGAAAAUACUGGCNUAUCUAAAAUGUUGCUGAAUAUUCCACAUCAGUUAAUAGAAUUCGUCGAGAUCGUUAGUUGAUAUUUGAUCUCUCCUGUGCGUGCUUUUAUGUUUAUUUGUUUGUUUAUUAUUUCUACUUCUAACNUGCCCUAUACCAGAAGGUCUCAGGGCAGGUCAGAAUAAAAUCACAGUAAAAC
This 648-nucleotide long non-coding RNA is filed under the name Salvator merianae (Argentine black and white tegu). Its description in RNAcentral is "lncRNA (ENSSMRG00000014900.1)". The record is from RNAcentral. Lineage: Eukaryota; Metazoa; Chordata; Lepidosauria; Squamata; Teiidae.